ACUCUGAAGGGGUACCAGGGCACCUUCAACACCAUAAACACUACAGCACCCUCUAGUGGUUAUAGGGCUUGUAGAGUUCAUUUAAAGCAGUUCACACUUAACAUGGAAUUACUAAGAAUACAAAAGGCAAGCAGCCAUGUAUUAACAGAGGUAUUUACUAAACUGGUAAUUGUCGGGAAUUGAACAGUGAACUUCAGAGUUAAAGCCAACAUAGCUG
Non-coding RNA from Pelobates cultripes (western spadefoot toad), 217 nucleotides. NCBI's taxonomy places the organism in Eukaryota, Metazoa, Chordata, Amphibia, Anura, Pelobatidae. The record is from the annotation of a GenBank genome assembly.